This 254-nucleotide ribosomal RNA is filed under the name uncultured bacterium. Its description in RNAcentral is "partial 16S ribosomal RNA". It matches the Rfam family "Bacterial small subunit ribosomal RNA", at positions 524 to 776 of the family's 1533-position model. The record is from RNAcentral.
CACGUAGGGUGCGAGCGUUGUCCGGAAUUAUUGGGCGUAAAGAGCUCGUAGGCGGUGUGUCGCGUCGGCCGUGAAAACCUGCAGCUUAACUGUGGGCUUGCGGUCGAUACGGGCAUCACUGGAGUUCGGCAGGGGAGACUGGAAUUCCUGGUGUAGCGGUGAAAUGCGCAGAUAUCAGGAAGAACACCCGUGGCGAAGGCGGCUCUCUGGGAAUGACCUGACGCUGAGGAGCGAAAGUGUGGGGAGCGAACAGG